Molecule: ribosomal RNA, 565 nt
Filed under: Geastrum sp. MA-Fungi 83792
Lineage: Eukaryota; Fungi; Basidiomycota; Agaricomycetes; Geastrales; Geastraceae
Description: eukaryotic LSU rRNA
Rfam family: 5.8S ribosomal RNA (bases 167-321)
Source: RNAcentral
CAUUACUGAAGACACUAGAGUUUUGAGACUGCGUCUUCAAUGGCGCGUGCUCGACUCUUAUUCUUCUAUCCACACACCUUUGUGCACCAAUGGGACGAAAGUCCCCAUUUUCCACAUAAAAACCAAGUUAUAUGCAUGUAUUUUGUCUACUCUAAGGAGUAAGUACAACUUUCAACAACGGAUCUCUUGGCUUUCGCAUCGAUGAAGAACGCAGCGAAUGUGCGAGACGUAAUGUGAAUUGCAGAAUUCAGUGAAUCAUCGAAUCUUUGAACGCAUCUUGCGCUCCUUGGUAUUCCGAGGAGCAUGCCUGUUUGAGUGUCGUGAAAUACUCUCAGUUUCAAUUUUAUUAUUGAAACUGGAUUUGAAUGCUUGUCGGCCUCGUCGACUCGUUCUAAAUGCAUUAGCGGUCUGCCCUUGAUCACAACACAGUGUGAUAAAUUAAAAAAACAGCAUUGUUAUUGUUCAAGUGGCUUGGAUGGCUUCUAACCGUCCUGAAAAGGGACAAUACGAUCUCAUUUGACCUCAAAUCAGGUAGGACUACCCGCUGAACUUAAGCAUAUCAAUA